UUUUCCUACGGGGGGCAGCAGUGAGGAAUAUUGGUCAAUGGGCGGGAGCCUGAACCAGCCAAGUCGCGUGAGGGAAGACGGUCCUAUGGAUUGUAAACCUCUUUAGGCGGGGAGCAAUGCCGGGCACGCGUGCCCGGAGGGAGAGUACCCGCAGAAUAAGCAUCGGCUAACUCCGUGCCAGCAGCCGCGGUAAUACGGAGGAUGCGAGCGUUAUCCGGAUUUAUUGGGUUUAAAGGGUGCGCAGGCGGUCUGUUAAGUCAGCGGUCAAAGCCCGGGGCUCAACCCCGGC
RNAcentral lists this ribosomal RNA (289 nucleotides) under uncultured bacterium. RNAcentral describes it as "partial 16S ribosomal RNA". It matches the Rfam family "Bacterial small subunit ribosomal RNA", at positions 334 to 619 of the family's 1533-position model. The record is from RNAcentral.